RNAcentral lists this ribosomal RNA (1449 nucleotides) under uncultured bacterium. Its description in RNAcentral is "bacterial SSU rRNA". It matches the Rfam family "Bacterial small subunit ribosomal RNA". The record is from RNAcentral.
AGGGUUUGAUCCUGGCUCAGGAUGAACGCUGGCGGCGUGCUUAACACAUGCAAGUCGAACGAACCUUCGGGUUAGUGGCGGACGGGUGAGUAACGCGUGAGAAUCUGCCCUCAGGAGGGGGAUAACGGUUGGAAACGACCGCUAAUACCCCAUAUGCCGAUAGGUGAAAUGAAUUUCGCCUGAGGAUGAGCUCGCGUCUGAUUAGCUAGUUGGUGUGGUAAUGGCUCACCAAGGCUUCGAUCAGUAGCUGGUCUGAGAGGAUGAUCAGCCACACUGGGACUGAGACACGGCCCAGACUCCUACGGGAGGCAGCAGUGGGGAAUUUUCCGCAAUGGGCGAAAGCCUGACGGAGCAACGCCGCGUGAGGGACGAAGGCCUCUGGGCUGUAAACCUCUUUUCUCAAGGAAGAAGAUAUGACGGUACUUGAGGAAUAAGCCACGGCUAAUUCCGUGCCAGCAGCCGCGGUAAUACGGGAGUGGCAAGCGUUAUCCGGAAUUAUUGGGCGUAAAGCGUCCGCAGGCGGCUUUUCAAGUCUGCUGUUAAAACGUGGAGCUUAACUCCAUCAUGGCAGUGGAAACUGAAAGGCUUGAGUAUGGUAGGGGCAGAGGGAAUUCCCGGUGUAGCGGUGAAAUGCGUAGAUAUCGGGAAGAACACCAGUGGCGAAGGCGCUCUGCUGGGCCAUUACUGACGCUCAUGGACGAAAGCCAGGGGAGCGAAAGGGAUUAGAUACCCCUGUAGUCCUGGCCGUAAACGAUGAACACUAGGUGUCGGGGGAAUCGACCCCUUCGGUGUCGUAGCUAACGCGUUAAGUGUUCCGCCUGGGGAGUACGCACGCAAGUGUGAAACUCAAAGGAAUUGACGGGGGCCCGCACAAGCGGUGGAGUAUGUGGUUUAAUUCGAUGCAACGCGAAGAACCUUACCAGGGUUUGACAUCCUGCGAACCUCUUAGAAAUUUGAGGGUGCCUUCGGGAAUGCAGUGACAGGUGGUGCAUGGCUGUCGUCAGCUCGUGUCGUGAGAUGUUGGGUUAAGUCCCGCAACGAGCGCAACCCACGUUUUUAGUUGCCAGCAUUUAGUUGGGCACUCUAGAAAGACCGCCGGUGAUAAACCGGAGGAAGGUGUGGAUGACGUCAAGUCAUCAUGCCCCUUACACCCUGGGCUACACACGUACUACAAUGCUACGGACAAAGGGCAGCAAACUCGCGAGAGCUAGCAAAUCCCAUAAACCGUGGCUCAGUUCAGAUCGUAGGCUGCAACUCGCCUACGUGAAGUAGGAAUCGCUAGUAAUCGCAGGUCAGCAUACUGCGGUGAAUACGUUCCCGGGCCUUGUACACACCGCCCGUCACACCAUGGAAGUUGGCCAUGCCCGAAGUCGUUACUCCAACCCUUGUGGAGGAGGACGCCGAAGGUGGGGCUAAUGACUGGGGUGAAGUCAUAACAAGGUAGCCGUA